CUAAUAAAAGGAUAUAAAAGUUGUAAAUGCAUGGUGGAGAACAAUGAUAAAAAUAAUUAAAGGUCAGAAUCACAUAUACCAGACGCAUAUCAGCAGCUAUUACAGAGGUUUCUGCACGAAGCUCACAGUGUUAUACCUUCGGAUCAAAGUUCAACAACUGAAGGUAGUCAUUCAAGAAUUCUAGUGAUCAUUCACGGAUUGCUCAACUCUUUGCUUCAGCAGUGCCUUCAUCACCUUCAUAACCUAAAAUUAUAAAGUCAAGGUAUUCUAUGGCAUGUGAUUUACAAUCUUUGCCGAGAUUUUUCAACAGGAAUCGCAUAUACCAGACGCAUACCAGCAGCUAUCACAGUUUCUGCAUGAAGCUCACAGUGUUAUACCUUCGGAUCAGAGUUCAACAACUGAAGGUAGUCAUUCAAGAACUCCAGUGGUCGUUCACGGAUUGCUCAACUCUUUGCUUCAGCAGUGCCUUCAUCAUCUUCAUCACCUAAAACUAUAAAGUCAAGGUAUUCUAUGGCAUGUGAUUUACAAUCUUUGCCGAGAUUUUUCAACAUCGCACUAUACGUUAAAGAAUCAGG
RNAcentral lists this long non-coding RNA (575 nucleotides) under Nicotiana benthamiana. RNAcentral describes it as "long non-coding RNA (NBEN_LNC005456)". Lineage: Eukaryota; Viridiplantae; Streptophyta; Magnoliopsida; Solanales; Solanaceae. The record is from RNAcentral.